GAACCGUUGGCCAUGAAAAUAUUAGUAACAAUGCAAAUAGAUCCAUCAUGUAAGAUGCAACAAUUGUCUCGUGUAUCUGAGCCAUUCUAUUGAAAAUUUGUUGAAGAGGAAGACCAGGUUUUCUACACAAUUUCCUAAAUAAUGUCAUGUUAUUUUCGUAUGGGAAAGCUGAAAAGGAAUCAAGAGGACCUAAUCGUCGCACAUCAUUAGUAAGCAUGAGCUGCAAAAUUUAAAUACGCUUCUGAUGGUGAUGCGUAAGUUAAAAUUCUUACUGCUGCGUGUAACAUUAAAAAGUGUAUGUAUACUUCCUGUCGUACAAUACCGUACGUUACAACUGGGCCUGUAUAUAAUAAAAAUUGGCGAAAUUCUGUGGCUUUAUAUUUCAUACACACAUCAAGUGACCUAGGACGUCUUGCAAAAUCAGAUGGACAGUAAUCUUUAAGUAUUUCCAAUCGUUUGCUUAUACAAGCAUACAAGAUGCAUAUACUCAAAUGGAAUCUGCGAAACCAUUCCUAUUGGUAACAUCGAUAACGGACUAUUGCCAUUUUUAUGAUGAUCAUCAUUUAAACAUGCGACAUACUCUUCAUCCGUACGAAGAGUAUGAUUUACACCACGAAAAACAUAACGACCUUCAUGCCGUAUACCAGAAAUUUUACAUUUAGAGCAUGGUUUAUUAGAUGUAUGGCUUCGAUGAUUGAGAAUAAA
Molecule: long non-coding RNA, 705 nt
Organism: Cyphomyrmex costatus
Lineage: Eukaryota; Metazoa; Arthropoda; Insecta; Hymenoptera; Formicidae
Exons: 4
Source: RefSeq, a predicted model, not a curated record